Molecule: ribosomal RNA, 1265 nt
Filed under: uncultured bacterium
Lineage: Bacteria
Description: partial 16S ribosomal RNA
Rfam family: Bacterial small subunit ribosomal RNA
Source: RNAcentral
AACAAAGCUAGCGGCGGACGGGUGAGUAACACGUGGGCAACCUGCCUCAUAGAGGGGAAUAGCCUCCCGAAAGGGAGAUUAAUACCGCAUAAGAUUGUAGCUUCGCAUGAAGUAGCAAUUAAAGGAGCAAUCCGCUAUGAGAUGGGCCCGCGGCGCAUUAGCUAGUUGGUGAGGUAACGGCUCACCAAGGCGACGAUGCGUAGCCGACCUGAGAGGGUGAUCGGCCACAUUGGGACUGAGACACGGCCCAGACUCCUACGGGAGGCAGCAGUGGGGAAUAUUGCACAAUGGGGGAAACCCUGAUGCAGCAACGCCGCGUGAGUGAUGACGGCCUUCGGGUUGUAAAGCUCUGUCUUCAGGGACGAUAAUGACGGUACCUGAGGAGGAAGCCACGGCUAACUACGUGCCAGCAGCCGCGGUAAUACGUAGGUGGCGAGCGUUGUCCGGAUUUAUUGGGCGUAAAGCGAGCGCAGGCGGUUUAAUAAGUCUGAAGUUAAAGGCAGUGGCUUAACCAUUGUUCGCUUUGGAAACUGUUAGACUUGAGUGCAGAAGGGGAGAGUGGAAUUCCAUGUGUAGCGGUGAAAUGCGUAGAUAUAUGGGGGAACACCGGUGGCGAAAGCGGCUCUCUGGUCUGUAACUGACGCUGAGGCUCGAAAGCGUGGGGAGCAAACAGGAUUAGAUACCCUGGUAGUCCACGCCGUAAACGAUGAGUGCUAGGUGUUAGGCCCUUUCCGGGGCUUAGUGCCGCAGCUAACGCAUUAAGCACUCCGCCUGGGGAGUACGACCGCAAGGUUGAAACUCAAAGGAAUUGACGGGGGCCCGCACAAGCGGUGGAGCAUGUGGUUUAAUUCGAUGCAACGCGAAGAACCUUACCUGGUCUUGACAUCCACGGAAGUUUUCAGAGAUGAGAAUGUGCCUUCGGGAGCCGUGAGACAGGUGCUGCAUGGCUGUCGUCAGCUCGUGUUGUGAAAUGUUGGGUUAAGUCCCGCAACGAGCGCAACCCUUAUCCUUUGUUGCCAGCGGUCCGGCCGGGAACUCAAAGGAGACUGCCAGUGAUAAACUGGAGGAAGGUGGGGAUGACGUCAAGUCAUCAUGGCCCUUACGACCAGGGCUACACACGUGCUACAAUGGCGCAUACAAAGAGAAGCGACCUCGCGAGAGCAAGCGGACCUCAUAAAGUGCGUCGUAGUCCGGAUUGGAGUCUGCAACUCGACUCCAUGAAGUCGGAAUCGCUAGUAAUCGUGGAUCAGAAUGCCACGGUGAAU